Molecule: unclassified non-coding RNA, 1597 nt
Filed under: Hevea brasiliensis (rubber tree)
Lineage: Eukaryota; Viridiplantae; Streptophyta; Magnoliopsida; Malpighiales; Euphorbiaceae
Source: RNAcentral
GGCCCUUGGCUGUUUACUCUUUCGGAUAUGCUACUUCAAGUCUGCAUUUGAUGGUGAAUCAAAACUUCAAGUUUUAAAUGGCAAUUACCGGAUUCCAGAAUUACCAAAAUACAGCACUUCCAUCAUAGACCUAAUAAGAGAUAUGCUUCAGUCAUCACCAGAUGCCAGACCAGAUAUCACGCAGGUGUGGUUCCGUGUUAAUGGUCUGUUGCCAGAUGAGCUUCAAAAGUCGUUACCCGAAAGACCCCCUGAAAUGCAGCAACAGGGUAUUGAUGGGCAUGAAGGAUUUCCAAGAGCUGCUGGUAAGACCAGUCCAAUGCCUAGCAGAAAUCCUCCGCCACCUCCUUCGGCUGCUGAACCUAAUCAUAAUGCAUCGCCUGCAUCACAUAAUUCAAAAGCCGGUGGAGCUACUGGUCCAAUCGGUGCAUUCUGGAAUACUCAGCAUGCAACCAAUGCCUCUGUUUCUGAGGAGACAAGCAGACCCAAAUUUGACGAAGAGAUAAGGCACAGUUCCUCAGUCCAUGACAAGAGUCAUCCCAAUAAGGUUUCUGUUUCUAAUCGAAAUAGCCCUUUGAAAGAGGAAAGUCUCAGCUCCCACCCGAUGCAAAAUAAUGUGCGACCAAAACUAACCAAUAGAGCAGGGGAAGCCCCAUCAAGGGAUUUUGAGAUAAACUUUUUCCAGGAUGGUUCAGGUCAGAGUGUUGGGAAUAAUAAAUCGUCAAAGUUAGAGGGGCCAACUGCCCCCCAAGGUGAAGGAUUCAAUUCUUUUGUUGCGGAAUUCUGUAUCAAUAAACCUAGCCCUGGAAAUAACACUAAACAAACGGAGAAGAAAGAGCUCAUGGAAGCUGAGGUUGAGAAGUUGAAGCAACAGCUGUCACGAGCCAACAUGGAGAAGGCUGAAAUAACAUCUAAAUAUGAAAAGCUAUCUGCAAUAUGCCGAUCACAGCGACAGGAGUUACAAGAGCUUAAGCAAGCUCUUGCUGCCAGAACUCCAUCACCACAUGUAGACACCACGAGGGACCACCACGCAUCUCCUGGAAGUCAACCAUCCAGUACUCCACCGAAAAAAGAUAACAUUGAAGGAACAGUUUGGGAACUUCAGCAAGGAUUAUUUGGCCAGAGUCAGGUGAGCUCAGAUUCAAAAUCCUGGCAAGCAUUUGCGGAUGAUCCAAAGCAACAAGCUACUCCAGUUAAUUCUACUCCUAGAUCUGUCAGGACAAAAAAUGGCCACCAGAACAGAGAGACAUCUGAAACUAAUACAUCAGCAUUUGGAACGGAUAGCUUUAGAGCUGUGCCGGCUUUCAGCUCUCAGAUAAAGGCCACUUUCAAUGAGUCGAAAAAUUCUCAGCGUUUUGGUGAACCAAAGAAUAUUGAUAGCAAAUCAGCGUCCCAACCUGCUGGAUGGGCAGGUUUCUAAAAGAUGUUAUAGCUAAACUUAGUACGUCCGGCAAGGCAGUCAAUUUUACAAUUUGAGAUUUCCUUUACAAGAUACUCUUCCUAUUAUGGAAGAAUGAAUUCCGGGGGAUGUAAAACAUACAAUUGUCCAGUUGUUUUGAGCUCUUGGUUGUUUUGUGUAGAUUUUGAACCUAUUAUAUCA